AGAGUUUGAUCCUGGCUCAGGAUGAACGCUAGCUACAGGCUUAACACAUGCAAGUCGAGGGGCAGCAUGUUGGUUGCUUGCAACCAAUGAUGGCGACCGGCGCACGGGUGAGUAACGCGUAUCCAACCUACCCUUGUCCAUCGGAUAACCCGUCGAAAGGCGGCCUAACACGAUAUGCGGUUCACAGCAGGCAUCUAAGGUGAACGAAAUGUGAAGGAGAAGGAUGGGGAUGCGUCUGAUUAGCUUGUUGGCGGGGUAACGGCCACCAAGGCUACGAUCGAGUAGGGGUUCUGGAGAGGAAGGUCCCCCACAUUGGAACUGAGACACGGUCCAAACUCCGUACGGAGGCA
RNAcentral lists this ribosomal RNA (350 nucleotides) under uncultured bacterium. RNAcentral describes it as "bacterial SSU rRNA". It matches the Rfam family "Bacterial small subunit ribosomal RNA", at positions 8 to 350 of the family's 1533-position model. The record is from RNAcentral.